AUGGGCUCUGGGUUAGUUAAAGAUUUGGUUGGUUGGAUGGUUGGGCUCUCUCCCAACUCCCAAGAGAGAGAGAGAGAGAGAGAGAGAGAGAAAGAGAGACAGAUCUCUCUCUCUAUACAUCUGUUCGUUGGUCUGUGAGAAGCGGACAAACCAAAGAAAGAAAAGAGGUGACAUGGGUGGAUUCAGAGAGUUCGGUGCUGAUCAACAUUCCUCCUCCUCAAACAUAUUCCACUCCAUCACCGCCAUAGUCAUCUGGCUUGGCUCCGUUCACCUGAACGUCGCUAUUGUUCUCUCCUCCCUCAUUUUCCUUCCCCCUUCUCUCUCCCUCCUGGUAUUGGGUCUGCUCUUUCUCUUAAUCUUCAUCCCCAUCGAUGAUCGUAGCAAAUACGGUCGAAUGCUCGCUAGGUACAUAUGUAAACACGCGUGUAGUUAUUUUCCUGUUACUCUCCAUGUCGAGGAUUACGAAGCUUUCCAGCCUACUCGUGCCUAUGUUUUUGGUUAUGAACCACAUUCGGUGUGGCCUAUUGGAGCUGUUGCACUUGCUGAUCUUACAGGGUUCAUGCCUCUUCCUAACAUCAAAGUUCUUGCUAGUACUGCUGUAUUCUACACACCGUUUCUGAGGCAAAUAUGGACGUGGUUAGGGCUCGCCCCUGCUUCUAGGAAGAAUUUCGCUUCCUAUUUGGACUCUGGCUAUAGUUGUAUCCUCGUACCUGGUGGUGUCCAGGAGACAUUUCACAUGAAACAUGAUGUUGAGAACUUAUUCCUUUCAUCGAGAAGGGGGUUUGUGCGCAUAGCCAUGGAGCAUGGGACACCUCUCGUUCCAGUUUUCUGCUUUGGUCAGUCACGAGUGUACAAGUGGUGGAAGCCGGACUGGAACCUCUACCUUAAACUAUCAAGAGCCAUCAAGUUCACUCCCAUCUGUUUCUGGGGUGUUUUUGGAUCCCCAAUACCAUUUCGACACCCUCUGCAUGUUGUGGUUGGGAAACCAAUAGAAGUUAGAAAAACUCUGCAGCCAACUGAUGAAGAGAUUGCUAAGGUACAUGGACAGUUUGUGGAAGCGCUUAAGGAUCUGUUUGAGAGGCACAAGGCCAGAGCAGGCUUCUCUGAUCUGCAGUUGAAUAUUCUUUGAAUCAACUUGUCAAAAUGGUUUUGUGUAAUAUCCUGAACUAUUUGUCGUUAACUUGGAGGUGGCUUUGGAUUUACCUAUGUAUGUCUUAUACGUUUGUAUCAACUUUGGAUUAUAAAGAUCCAUUUACUCUUAUCUAAAUAUUAUUGGUAGAGCAGAUA
Molecule: RNA transcript, 1287 nt
Organism: Brassica rapa (field mustard)
Lineage: Eukaryota; Viridiplantae; Streptophyta; Magnoliopsida; Brassicales; Brassicaceae
Gene name: diacylglycerol O-acyltransferase 2
Source: RefSeq, a predicted model, not a curated record